This 442-nucleotide unclassified non-coding RNA is filed under the name Histoplasma capsulatum. RNAcentral describes it as "partial contains ITS1, 5.8S rRNA, ITS2". The stretch from base 135 to 288 matches the Rfam family "5.8S ribosomal RNA". Lineage: Eukaryota; Fungi; Ascomycota; Eurotiomycetes; Onygenales; Ajellomycetaceae. The record is from RNAcentral.
UGUUGCCUCGGCGGGCCUGCAGCGAUGCUGCCGGGGGAGCUUCUCCUCCCCGGGCCCGUGUCCGCCGGGGACACCGCAAGAACCGUCGGUGAACGAUUGGCGUCUGAGCAUGAGAGCGAUAAUAAUCCAGUCAAAACUUUCAACAACGGAUCUCUUGGUUCCGACAUCGAUGAAGAACGCAGCGAAAUGCGAUAAGUAAUGUGAAUUGCAGAAUUCCGUGAAUCAUCGAAUCUUUGAACGCACAUUGCGCCCCCUGGUAUUCCGGGGGGCAUGCCUGUCCGAGCGUCAUUGCAACCCUCAAGCGCGGCUUGUGUGUUGGGCCGUCGUCCCCCCUCGACCGGCGGGACGUGCCCGAAAUGCAGUGGCGGUGUCGAGUUCCGGUGCCCGAGCGUAUGGGGCUUUGCCACCCGCUCUGGAGGCCCGGCCGGCUCCUGCCCACCAU